GCCUGGGUGGCUCAGUCGGUUAAGCGUCUGACUUCGGCUCAGGUCAUGAUCUCGCAAUUCGUGGGUUCGAGCCCCACGUCGGGCU
RNAcentral lists this transfer RNA (85 nucleotides) under Felis catus (domestic cat). It matches the Rfam family "tRNA". From Rfam's summary of the family: Transfer RNA (tRNA) molecules are approximately 80 nucleotides in length. The record is from Rfam by way of RNAcentral. RNAcentral also lists the same sequence under 1 other name. Lineage: Eukaryota; Metazoa; Chordata; Mammalia; Carnivora; Felidae.